Molecule: ribosomal RNA, 270 nt
Filed under: uncultured archaeon
Lineage: Archaea
Description: partial 16S ribosomal RNA
Rfam family: Archaeal small subunit ribosomal RNA
Source: RNAcentral
CAGCCCCUCGAGUGGUAGGGAUGAUUAUUGGGCCUAAAGCAUCCGUAGCCGGCGCUGUAAGUUUUCGGUUAAAUCUGUACGCUCAACGUACAGGCUGCCGGGAAUACUGCAGCGCUAGGGAGUGGGAGAGGUAGACGGUACUCGGUAGGAAGGGGUAAAAUCCUUUGAUCUAUUGAUGACCACCUGUGGCGAAGGCGGUCUACCAGAACACGUCCGACGGUGAGGGAUGAAAUCUGGGGGAGCAAACCGGAUUAGAUACCCGAGUAGUCC